ACAAGUUUUAUUCAUAAUAUCCUAUAGGCUUUAGAGUUUAGCAGUUCAACGAGUUUAUAUUUUAUUACCCUGAUGAUAUUUUUAUCAGCACCUCGGGCCUUUCAGAAUGCAGAAUUUUCAGAUAUGUAAUGCAAUAUAAAAACCGGCAUUUAUUCUCCAAAACCCCGUUCCCAACGACGUCUUCUUGUCAUGGUUGUAUGAAUUUGUGUCAUAGUGCUCUGCGCUUGAAGCUACCUUGAUUUUGAGAUCAGUUCCCGAAAAGACAUGACCUGGAACUGGUACUCGUAGCCCUUUCACAUAACCGAAUGCAAUAUGGAUGGCCACCAUGAAAUGAGUGAAUUAACCGCGGAUUUUCUCACGCUCCAAGCGCAAAAAUAUCUUCCGAAGUUUUUGAUUUCCUUGAGUACAUGGCCAUGGUUCACUAUAGGCUGUGCAAGUGCGAGUUUAGCGGUGAUCAUCGAUAAAUUUGCUUUCCGAGGUAUGCCAGGACCCAUAGAUGUGCGGCUUACAAUACCAACUACAAACAAAUACAUUUACUACACCGCAGGACUCAGAAUGCAUGUUUUCCAUAGUUUAGCACUGAUGGCAAUACCGCCCUUUCAUCCUCAUAUUAAUGGCGUAGGCAUGAUGUUCACGGCUGGAAUGGCAUUAUACUCUGGAUCGUGUUAUGCAUUUUGUUGGUCAAAUAAUGAGCGACUGAAAAAACUGCAACCUUUCGGGACGUACUGCUUUCUGGCCGGCUGGGCUAUACUGACGUUAUCCAGGUUUUUGUCUUUUUCGUAAUGUUCCUAACUGUAAGCUCUUGUGACGAUCGGGAAUCUUUCGAAUCAAGCACAAGUUGCCAUUACCAGCUGGUACAUAACGGAUUUUUGCGCGAUUAAAUUCAAAUCGAAAUGUGCAAGAUCCACUUGAAACAAACUGCUUUAAAUGGUAACAUUCGAAGUUCUGCAUUUUCACAUUUAGUAGCGCAAAAGCUGAUUAUAUUAAUCAAAUUUACAAGUGACGAUAAAAGCAAAAUGAAAGAGUAGAGCACAUUGUCAUCUGUGGAAAAGAACGAUUCACAUAGCAGUGUU
Paramacrobiotus metropolitanus is the source of this 1073-nucleotide long non-coding RNA. RefSeq lists it as uncharacterized. The transcript is spliced from 3 exons. NCBI's taxonomy places the organism in Eukaryota, Metazoa, Tardigrada, Eutardigrada, Parachela, Macrobiotidae. The record is from RefSeq and is a predicted model, not a curated record.